GCCGGAAUUGCUAGUAAUGGCAGGUCAGCAUACUGCCGUGAAUACGUUCCCGGGCCUUGUACACACCGCCCGUCACACCAUGAGAGUUGGGAAUACCCGAAGCCUGUGAGCUAACGUAAGAGGCAGCAGUCGAAGGUAGAAUCAAUGAUUGGGGUGAAGUCGUAACAAGGUAGC
RNAcentral lists this ribosomal RNA (174 nucleotides) under uncultured bacterium. Its description in RNAcentral is "partial 16S ribosomal RNA". It matches the Rfam family "Bacterial small subunit ribosomal RNA", at positions 1325 to 1500 of the family's 1533-position model. The record is from RNAcentral.